This 232-nucleotide ribosomal RNA is filed under the name Escherichia coli. Its description in RNAcentral is "partial 23S ribosomal RNA". It matches the Rfam family "Bacterial large subunit ribosomal RNA", at positions 667 to 898 of the family's 2925-position model. The record is from RNAcentral. Lineage: Bacteria; Pseudomonadati; Pseudomonadota; Gammaproteobacteria; Enterobacterales; Enterobacteriaceae.
CAUAGCGAAAGCGAGUCUUAAUAGGGCGUUAAGUCAGAUGCUGCAGACCCGAAGCCAAGUGAUCUAUCCAUGACCAAGUUGAAGUAAGUGUAACAGCUUAUGGAGGACUGAACUCGUGCCCACUGAAACGGGCUGGGAUGAGUUGUGGAUAGGGGUGAAAGGCCAAACAAACUUGGUGAUAGCUGGUUCUCUUCGAAAUAUAUUUAGGUAUAGCCUCAAGUGAUAGCAAUAG